RNAcentral lists this long non-coding RNA (4633 nucleotides) under Gallus gallus (chicken). RNAcentral describes it as "lncRNA (ENSGALG00010023493.1)". The record is from RNAcentral. Lineage: Eukaryota; Metazoa; Chordata; Aves; Galliformes; Phasianidae.
UAACGAGGCCGGCUGCGCUAAGGAGGCAACGACUCCCAGGUGCCGCGGGGCCGCGGCCGGCCGGGCGCAGCUGCGCCUCGUCGGGAGCCGCGGGCGGGGCCCGCCCCAAAGCCUCUUAAGCUCCUCCGGAGGCUGCCGGGAGCCACGGGGGAGUUUCUGCGGUUCUGUAUGGCAGACGGAGUGAGUUCUGUUUCUUUGUCGGGCCCUGGUGCUGCUGAGGCUGAGAAGCGGCUGCUGUGAGCCCUUUUGCGGUAAGGACCAGCCCAAACAGCGGGUGCUUCAGUUCUUCAGGCUCUCCUCGGCUGAGCGAGGGCUGUAGCAGAGCCUCUCAUCGCUCCGAAGCAGGCAGCUCGUGGAAGCGGGGAGUGUUUGAGAGUCGCUCGGUAAGAUCUCCCCUGCUGGGGCUCCUGUAGGGUUGCUGCCCGACUGCCUCCGUAUCUUUGGGAUCGGCACGGCGCCGCCGCUGGGGGCUCCCGUGUGGCUUUUUAGUAGGACCGGCACGGGGCCUCCGCCCGAGACCGAGCACGAUCCCGGGGUGGCCUCGGCCACUGCGGAGUGUUUUGCGGGUGCUCUCACCCAUCCCGUUUCCAGCGGUGGGAGCGAGCAGGUUGGGACCGUGGUUUUAUUUUUUUUUUUUUUUCCCCGCCUCUUCCUUCCCGUGUAACUGCAGGAGCACGAUUUAGGUUCCCACCGUGGAGACCUGGCAGGGCAGCUCGCACGACUGGAGUGCUGUCGUGGAUGGCUCUGUUCCUUUUAGGAAAGGCAGACCGGUCAGGCGGUGGAGUCUCUUUUCGAGGGAGAGAACGGGAACGUAUCGAGCUCCACCUAGGGAUGACUGAAGAACCAGCGGAGCGUUUGUGCGUGAGGCUGAAGAGGCAGCUGGAAAUGGUGCCCACAGCUGUGAGGCUAGUUCUCAUGGUAGGCUCCAGGAGUUUCCUGCAAUGUGUCAAAGAAGAGCCAUCUGGGGACAGGAAGGCCAGGGGCAGCCUGGAGCGUGCCAGUCGUGAGACCACAGCGUUUGGGAUCUUGUGUGGAAGCUGCAAAGCAAUGAGUAGGAUUGAAACACUGGACUUAGAGGGAGCCAGGUUUGUCCUCUUGAAGGGCCUACUUGGAGGUAACCCUUGCUCAAGCAUAGGAAGGGGUCCUGUGAAUGCUGGAGCAUUACUUUGUCCAUGCUGAGGUGCGCUGCGUCCCAAGGAGGAAGGAAGUGCGCAGGAAUGGUGGGGGACCUGCAGGGCUGACUGAGGAACUUGAAGGGGAGAAGGAAGAGAGAGGCUGAGGAAGGCCAAGUCCCUCUGAGUAUCAGCUUUGGGAGGGAGGUCAAGGCUAAUGGAAGUUUGUCAACAGGAGAGACUGGAGAAAUUGCAGGCCUGUGCUUCACAAGGCAAGGGCCUGAGUAAUGGAGGAUGGAGGACAUGCUGGAUGCCUGUUUUGGUUUCAGUGGUUUCUGCUGAGAGUGCUCCUGGGGUCCUGGAGGAGAGAGUCUCAGAGGAAGGCUGCCUUCCCCUCAGUUGCAGAGGAGCUGGUCAAAAGUGGUUCAGGCAGAAAGGAGGCCAGCAAAUGCCUGAGCUGUAGAGGGCUAUGCCUGUGCCCGCUGAGAGCUGGCAGCGGUGACCGGCAAAUGGCGCUCUCUGUCACUUUUCCCUGCUGUUUCCUGUGGGGAAAGGUACCUGAAGACUGGAGGAUGGCGGAUGCCACCGCAGCCUUCAGAAAGGGUGUGGAGGAUGGCGUGUGCAACUUGGAGGUAGGUUGGCCUCACCUCUGUUCCUGGGGAGGUGACGUAACAGCUUGUUGCAGGUGUCAUUGCCAUGUGACCGGAAGAGAAGGAAUUUGCAAGGAGCAGUCCAGGUGGAUGGACAGAGGGGAAGUCAUGCCGGACCAAAAGGGCGAGGGCUGCAGCGGAGAGCUUUGCCGAGAGGAUUGGCUGGAGCAGGUGUGCGGUUUCCCCAGCAGUGGGAUGAAGGAGGUGAGAGAGGGGGACCCCCAGGCGCGCCCCCUUGGAGGUGGUUUGUGGAGGUCUCCGUGCAGGUUCAGGCCGGAGGCAGGAUCCUGGUGGUGUGAGCGGGGUGCCCCUGUGGAGCAAGGGUGGAAGGUGCGUGGCAGGCCCUGUCCCGGAGGAGUGGAGUUGAUGGAGCGUGGCCCUUUGAUGCUGGAGUGAGGGGUCCUGGUGGGGCUGAAGUCCUGCGUGGAAGAGGGAGAUCCCAGGCGCUGCGAUGCGGAGGAGGAGCGGAGCCAGCGGUGGCUCCUGUGUGGUGAUGGCUGCUUAGUGGUGGUGUUCCCGGUCCUGGGCUGAAAGGAGGAGGAGGAGAAAGCUUUUAGUGUGUUACUUCAAAGCUCAGGCUUGGAUGACCUUGCUGAGGCUGAACAAGAGUACAAAACCUGUGAGUUAAAUGGGUGGAACAAAACUACAGCUGCUGCACCUUACCGGGCCGAGAGUCGUGACCUGAUCUUCCAUCUUUUACACAAAACGAGUCAGAUCUUCAGCUUGCUGCCACGAGUAACUCACACAUUCUCCAAUUCCUCGUAUGGAAAGAAGGUUUUCUUCUAAGGGAUUAUUCCAAUGCGUAAAAUCGGUGAAUUCACCUGUACAGUAAUGAAAUACUUUCAAUAAUUUCAUGCAAAACUUUCUUUAAGCAGUGCCUUGGGUCAGUCUUUCCAUGUGAGAGCUGCAUCAGUAAAAGUUCUCCUUUCGGUCCAUUUCUGACUUAUUUUUUAUAAUUUAGUUUAAAAGUUCAAGUCAUCCAACCAAAGCUGUGACAACAGGAAUAACAGGCUCGUGGUAUAACAGCAGUAGGAUUUAGGCACCUGUGGAGGGAGAAACACUGAAGAUUUCACCGUGGGUUCAGGGUGGGCCAAACAUUAAAAUCCCUUUCUUGGUUUAAGAUCAGAAUGCACCUUCGUGGGAUUCAUUUCUUCCUUACAUCUCAGUAACCAAGUAUGCAUUGAGUGACCUACACCUUUAAGGGGGAAAAUGGUCUCAGUCAAGCGCUGGAUGAAUAUAAAUAGUAAUAAUAAAAGCCUAUCAGUAAGGAAAAGCUGAGCAUUCUUUUUGAAUGCAAACAUAAUAAUUAAUAAUAAUCAUAAUCAUAAUCUGUGGCACAGGACCCAAAGAGACCUUUUCCUCACAGUUUCACACAGCAGUUCUCUCAUCAGCUCUGAAACCAUCUACCUCUGCAACUCAGAAAGCUUUCUUUUUUUCUUUUCCUGAAAGUUCAAGGAUACGUUAUCCAUUUUCUGGGCAAGUUUAGAACUUUGGGUCUCACUUCUGCAUACACGGAAUCUUCUCUAAAGUCACUAAGACAGAACAAAACCCGAGACCCUCUUUGGACUGCAAAUCCAGAAGCAUUCGACCCUGCGGUUCUGCCAAGCAGUGUGAAACACCGUAUUUGUAUCCGCCUCACGCAGCUCCCGCCCGAGUUUUUUCUCCGCGCUGAGCAUCAGUCUGCAGUCCUCGGUAAUUCCGGUAGAGGGCAAUACAAUAAAGCCAUUCAUAGAGGGCUCUCCGAGGCAGCUGCCGUAACUGGCUCCCACAGAACGCCUCAGGCUUUCUUCUUGUUCUGGAUUGGUGUGCUAAUGCCAAAUAUUUACAAUUGAAUCUUUUUUUGAUCCCGGGAACGCUCAUACUGCUUAUUUCUUCUUUGACAGCACAAACGCACGGGCGCGUUCUCAGUGCCUGAAAACAUCUCUAUGCAAAAAUCAAGAUAUAACUCUCUUUGCUACCACUUUUUUUUUUUGUCUCAUCCUCAGCCAUCCGUUUGAAUGUAAACGUUACAGUAUACCUCACAUCCGUAAGGAGUCUUUACAUUCAGGUGUAGUUUUAAAAAGUCUCAUAGGAACCUCUUGCAGUCGAUUAAUGGGCACAUCGGAAGCAAAUCAACUGGAAGUACGGGAUGAGUGUUAUUUAAUUCUCCCUAGGGCUUUGCUAUUCACACACUCCUCUGUGCAGGUAGAUAUUCACGUGCGUAUGAAAGGAAAACUCACCUUCAAGGCGUAACAAAGGGAAACCCGCACUGGGAUCAUUCGUAGGAAAGCAUCAUUUCACAGUACAUAGGUUUAUGGAUUGUGAGAGAUAGUGAUGCAUUUGUAAGGAUGAUCCCUACGAUAAGGUUCUGUGGUUUUAUUUUCUCAAGUCUAGACGUAUUUAGUCAAUAAUGAUUUCUUCAAAAGAUAGCCACAUCUCCAAGACAAGAACAGAACGGCCACGUGGCAGAUUUCACACAACCUCACAACAGUACCAUGAACUAUACGGGAGUUUCAUAAUUCAUGAAGGAACAAUAUUCCCUCCCGGGCACUAAAACUAGUCCAGAUAACACCAAGAACAGCUGAAAAGCCGGACAGUGUGAUUUCCCCUCUCCUCAAGUAUAGAGAGACACAAGUAUGAAACAGCUGGAAAACAUAUUCAAAGGAUGACAGGCACCACGUCACAGCAGAAGUGCCAGGUAAGCUCAGCGCAAAACAGUCCCUUUACUUCUUUCAUUCUUUCUUUCAUUUGUGACCAGAUUCAUGAGUGGAUGGAAAUGCUUGACAAAGUGAUAAUGAAUCUCUCUGAACGUUUACAUGGUUCCCAUCAGUGCAAAGACUCACCCAGUGCUAAAAGUAAUUCACUACAGUGUGUAAAAAAAAUAAACAAAUC